AUGGGAUGGCUGAUAAAAGCAUGGAACUGUAAAUUCUUAUAUAAACAAUUGUUUUCUCAUUAA
RNAcentral lists this transfer RNA (63 nucleotides) under Trioza anthrisci. RNAcentral describes it as "tRNA-Tyr". The record is from RNAcentral. Lineage: Eukaryota; Metazoa; Arthropoda; Insecta; Hemiptera; Triozidae.